Molecule: ribosomal RNA, 253 nt
Filed under: uncultured bacterium
Lineage: Bacteria
Description: partial 16S ribosomal RNA
Rfam family: Bacterial small subunit ribosomal RNA
Source: RNAcentral
UACGAAGGGUGCUAGCGUUGUUCGGAAUCACUGGGCGUAAAGCGCGCGUAGGCGGCGAUACAAGUCAGGGGUGAAAUCCCACAGCUCAACUGUGGAACUGCCUUUGAAACUAGAUCGCUGGAGUGUCGGAGGGGAUAGCGGAAUUGCUAAUGUAGAGGUGAAAUUCGUAGAUAUUAGCAGGAACACCGGUGGCGAAGGCGGCUAUCUGGACGACAACUGACGCUGAGGCGCGAAAGCGUGGGGAUCAAACAGG